UGGGGAAUCUUGCGCAAUGGGGGCAACCCUGAUGCAGCGACGCCGCGUGAGCGAUGAAGGUUUUCGAAUCGUAAAGCUCUGUCCUAUGGGAAGAUAAUGACGGUACCAUAGGAGGAAGCCCCGGCUAACUACGUGCCAGCAGCCGCGGUAAUACGUAGGGGGCGAGCGUUGUCCGGAAUUACUGGGCGUAAAGGGUUCGCAGGCGGCAUGGCAAGUCCGAUGUAAAAGGCGAAGGCUCAACCUUCGUAAGCAUCGGAAACUGUCAAGCUUGAGUGAAGGAGAGGCAAGUGGAAUUCCUAGUGUAGCGGUGGAAUGCGUAGAUAUUAGGAGGAAUACCGGUGGCGAAGGCGACUUGCUGGACUUCAACUGACGCUGAGGAACGAAAGCGUGGGUAGCAAACAGG
RNAcentral lists this ribosomal RNA (403 nucleotides) under Verrucomicrobiota bacterium. RNAcentral's name for it is "Verrucomicrobia bacterium partial 16S ribosomal RNA". It matches the Rfam family "Bacterial small subunit ribosomal RNA", at positions 355 to 776 of the family's 1533-position model. The record is from RNAcentral. Lineage: Bacteria; Pseudomonadati; Verrucomicrobiota.